GGGCCCGCACAAGCGGUGGAGCAUGUGGUUUAAUUCGACGCAACGCGAAGAACCUUACCAGGUCUUGACAUCCGGACUAAGGCUCUAGAGAUAGAGAGAUAACAGGCCGAGACAGGUGGUGCAUGGUUGUCGUCAGCUCGUGUCGUGAGAUGUUAGGUUAAGUCCUGCAACGAGCGCAACCCUUGUCCUUAGUUACCAUCAUUAAGUUGGGGACUCUAAGGAGACUGCCGGUGUAAAUCGGAGGAAGGUGGGGAUGACGUCAAAUCAUCAUGCCCUUUAUGACCUGGGCUACACACGUGCUACAAUGGACGGUACAAAGAGAAGCGAGAUAGUGAUAUUAAGCAAACCUCAGAAAGCCGUUCUCAGUUCGGAUUGAAGUCUGCAACUCGACUUCAUGAAGCCGGAAUCGCUAGUAAUCGCGAAUCAGAACGUCGCGGUGAAUACGUUCUCGGGCCUU
This 457-nucleotide ribosomal RNA is filed under the name uncultured bacterium. Its description in RNAcentral is "bacterial SSU rRNA". It matches the Rfam family "Bacterial small subunit ribosomal RNA", at positions 917 to 1382 of the family's 1533-position model. The record is from RNAcentral.